This 70-nucleotide transfer RNA is filed under the name Tipula cockerelliana. RNAcentral describes it as "tRNA-Asp". Lineage: Eukaryota; Metazoa; Arthropoda; Insecta; Diptera; Tipulidae. The record is from RNAcentral.
AAAAAAUUAGUUAAUCCCAUAACAUUAGUUUGUCAAGCUAAAAUUAUCAAAAUUUAAUUGAUAUUUUUUA